AUUGAACGCUGGCGGAAUGCUUUACACAUGCAAGUCGAACGGCAGCACGGACUUCGGUCUGGUGGCGAGUGGCGAACGGGUGAGUAAUACAUCGGAACGUGCCCAGUCGUGGGGGAUAACGUAGCGAAAGUUACGCUAAUACCGCAUACGAUCUAAGGAUGAAAGCGGGGGACCGUAAGGCCUCGCGCGAUUGGAGCGGCCGAUGUCAGAUUAGGUAGUUGGUGGGGUAAAGGCUCACCAAGCCAACGAUCUGUAGCUGGUCUGAGAGGACGACCAGCCACACUGGAACUGAGACACGGUCCAGACUCCUACGGGAGGCAGCAGUGGGGAAUUUUGGACAAUGGACGCAAGUCUGAUCCAGCCAUUCCGCGUGCAGGAUGAAGGCCCUCGGGUUGUAAACUGCUUUUGUACGGAACGAAAAGGCUCUUCCUAAUACGAGGGGCUCAUGACGGUACCGUAAGAAUAAGCACCGGCUAACUACGUG
RNAcentral lists this ribosomal RNA (484 nucleotides) under uncultured bacterium. Its description in RNAcentral is "bacterial SSU rRNA". It matches the Rfam family "Bacterial small subunit ribosomal RNA", at positions 30 to 507 of the family's 1533-position model. The record is from RNAcentral.